Long non-coding RNA from Polypterus senegalus (gray bichir), 556 nucleotides. RefSeq lists it as uncharacterized. NCBI's taxonomy places the organism in Eukaryota, Metazoa, Chordata, Cladistia, Polypteriformes, Polypteridae. The transcript is spliced from 2 exons. The record is from RefSeq and is a predicted model, not a curated record.
CACCCUGGUGAAUUGCUUCCUUCCUCUGUUGGCUUUGUGAUGCUAGGCUUUUUGAUUGUUUUUUUUUUUUUUGUAUCCCUCCAUACUGAGCUGUAGCCGAGUGGCAUCAACAGCUAAACAAUGGGGACUUGUGAUUUUCUAAUUAACAUCUGGAAAAUGGCAAAGAAAAAGCUGUUUACGAUUUCGGAGGCCAGCACACUGCAGGGACAAACAGGCAGAUUAGAUAGCUUUGGCGAGCAGAACACACAGAGCGCCACAGAGAGAAACAGAGGGAACAGGAGAUAAAAAGGAGCAAAAAAGAGAGAAAAGGAUUGAGAACAUCCGUCAUGGUCAUAAGGAGACUUUAAUUAACUGCUUAAUUUACACAAUUAUUCCUGCUGCAGAUUACAGUGACUUACGUAUCCUUACUUUUUAAGGGUUGCAGGAAGUUGGGAGUUCAGGAAUAGGUGCAAAACUGCAUUGAACCCAGCAUAUUACAAGGUUCACUCAUCCACAUCUGUGCUGCCUCACAUUGGACCAGUUGUCACCUGUCAGAAAUAUUCUGUCAUAUGUAAUG